GCAGCGGCCCGCGGAGCCUCACACAGGCCGCAGCCGGUUCCUUUCAGCGGCCUGUCCACGCCCCGGAGACGCCCAGGGGAAGGAGAGGGCGCGGCUACAUGGGGAAUGGGAGCUGUGUUACUACCUCCACCCUGGCCCGCCAGCGUCUGGACGAAGAACCGCCGCCAGACCAGUUUGGGCCUGGUAUCUGUCAUGUUGGUAUCUUAUUGCUACAAAAAGUCUGUCUCGUCAGUCCAAAGUUAACAUCCCUGCAGUAACCAAAAACAUGAGCUGGAUAAGGAGGAGAAGAGGAGCUGGCCGAAUGAUUUUUAAGCAGAAGCUGAAUGUUCAAUAAGAAUAGAGUUGACACCUUCAGAGGAGAAGUAAGAAAUAGUUUUCCUGUGUGUCAUGUAAGUCAUGUUUUUAGGCUUACCUUUCAUGCAAUUGCAACAACAUCCUCUAAGGGUCUUGAACGAACCUUCUAUUCCCCAAAUAUUCCUGACCAUUCCCAAUGACUAUCUCAGAUGUGCUCCAUCACUUUGUCUCUCCUACUGUGAACCUUUUGGUUGGUAUCUACUGUUGACACAUAGCUUACCUAAUGAACUAGGUGGAAGUAUCUGGCUAAUGUUGCUAGCUGCCUUCUUCCACACAGCUCUAUCUCUGACAUUCUGUAGCUUGCAAGGCAUCAAAAUGGACCUGGAUUUUCUGCAGCCCUUAAGACACUUAAACCAAGUUGUGGUCCACACAGAAGCAAAGGCUUCUCUUGUCGCUUUGGGUCACAAUUUCUCUUACUGCUUUACUACUUCCACUACAGGGGCUAACAAAUGUUUUAAUGUAAACAGUGUAUUUAGGUUUUCCUCUAAGUCUCACUGCCAAUUUCAGGACCUAAGCAUGCAGUUGGGAGCUAGUGGACACGACAAGUGAAAGAUAUUAUGUUAUAUUCAGAUUUAUUUUUCUUUAGAUAUCAUAAAAGUAAUUGGACAAACCUAGUCUUCCUGACUUCCCCUUCUGUUACCUGUUAUAUUGAGUUAUCUCACUGAAGACUCCUUGUUAUUUCAGGCAAAUACACUCAGAUGUCUGUGGAUCUAGAAAUGAGUGAAAAAUAUAGAUUCCAGCUG
This 1097-nucleotide long non-coding RNA is filed under the name Homo sapiens (human). Its description in RNAcentral is "novel transcript". Lineage: Eukaryota; Metazoa; Chordata; Mammalia; Primates; Hominidae. The record is from RNAcentral.